UUCCAGACUCCUACGGGAGGCAGCAGUGAGGAAUAUUGGUCAAUGGCCGUAAGGCUGAACCAGCCAAGUCGCGUGAAGGAAGAAGGAUCUAUGGUUUGUAAACUUCUUUUAUAGGGGAAUAAAGGUAUCCACGUGUGGAUAUUUGCAUGUACCCUAUGAAUAAGCAUCGGCUAACUCCGUGCCAGCAGCCGCGGUAAUACGGAGGAUGCGAGCGUUAUCCGGAUUUAUUGGGUUUAAAGGGUGCGUAGGCGGGCUUUUAAGUCAGCGGUAAAAAUUCGGGGCUCAACCCCGUCCGGCCGUUGAAACUGGGGGCCUUGAGUGGGCGAGAAGAAGGCGGAAUGCGUGGUGUAGCGGUGAAAUGCGUAGAUAUCAGGAGGAACACCGGCGGCGAAGGCGGCCUGCUGGACCGCGACUGACGUUGAGGCUCGAAAGCGUGGGGAGCGAACAGGAUUAGAUACCCGGGUA
RNAcentral lists this ribosomal RNA (465 nucleotides) under uncultured bacterium. RNAcentral's name for it is "partial 16S ribosomal RNA". It matches the Rfam family "Bacterial small subunit ribosomal RNA", at positions 329 to 792 of the family's 1533-position model. The record is from RNAcentral.